Molecule: long non-coding RNA, 3280 nt
Filed under: Nicotiana benthamiana
Lineage: Eukaryota; Viridiplantae; Streptophyta; Magnoliopsida; Solanales; Solanaceae
Description: long non-coding RNA (NBEN_LNC021137)
Source: RNAcentral
UAUAAUCUCCUUAACCGUGUGAUGUGUUAGCAUGUUGUUGGGAAGCCUAAUGGUUUCAGUGGUGGGUCUCUUUCUGCAGCAAGUCAAAAGACACGACAACAAAAUCUUCUGGACAGAAAUCCAAGGAUGAUGGUAAGCUUAAGAACAACUUAAAUGAUGGCACCUCAAAAUCUGGCGGGAGAACUGACGAUACAACCAGCAGUAAAUCUAGGGCCCAAUCUAAAAAGAGCAGUGGCAAAUCUGUUAAUGAUACUGAAAAGCCAUCUGCUCGGUCUAAAGAUGUUAGCAGUAGUACUCCCAAAUCCAAGUCCAAGCAAGAUACCCCGUCAGUGACUGCCAACAAGUCCAAGCAAGAAACAGUUACAACUGCUGUCAAGUCCAAAAAUAAAACCCCUCAAAGUGGCGGCAAGCCCAGUGGCAAUGGCAUGGAGAAGCUAAAAUUUAGCUCGUCGAAGGUUAAAGGAAGUGGGAACGAAAAGGAAAAAGCAACUAAUUUGGCGAAAGACCCUGAUAGCAGCUCUAAGGGAAAACUCUCUAGUGCGUCGAAGGAUGGAGAAAGUGAGGCAAAGAGUGGAAAGAAGCGUGGGAGAGGGAAGAACUGAUUAUUUGAUGCACAUCUGUAAUAGUGGAGCUGCUCUGUUCGUUCCUAUGCUACAUUCUUGGACCUGUUUCAGCUCACUGAAGAGGCUAUAGAGCCUAAGUAUACCUUGUAUGCUAUUUGCUGUUUGGCACAAUCUGGUGUCACAGCUUGCAAAUGUGUCUUAGGUUCUUAGUUAUGUUGGUACUAGGUUUCUGCUUAGUUUUGUCAGUUAAGCAUAUUGGUAGCUGUAAUUGGUUAGUUUUUAUCAUUUUGGUUGCUAGUUGUAUUCACCCCUAUUAUUUUUAACCCUAUCAUUUUGAGUUCUUAAGCAUAUUGGUAGCUGUAAUUGGUUAGUUUUUAUCAUUUUGGUUGCUAGUUGUAUUCACCCCUAUUAUUUUUAACCCUGUAGCUUAGGAAUUAGAUACCCUGUUGGUGAGAAGUUUAUGGAUGUGUAAGCUGGAUGAUAAAUUACUACUUUUUGUCCUCGCAGCUGGUAAUCCAAAUAGGGCUUUAAUAUGACUGUAAGAUGUUACAUAACUUAUACUACUUGGUUUGCUUGCUUCAUCUGGAGGUGGCAAAUUAGAUAAAUUGGGCCUUAGGCAGGCCAACCUAUUGUGGGGUAGAGCCUGUCGUGCGAUCUUUCCUUUAAUGAUUUUCUGUCCUUGUCGGAGUUGAGAUUUUGGUAUGUCUUUGAUGCUUGAGGGGAGUCAAUUCUCAUAACAUGUCUCUACUAUUUCCCAGAAUGAACCUCUUUGACGCAUGUGGUGCUUCUAAAAAUUCACACGAACCCAAAGAAAUUAAUGUGUUCUUUAUUUUUUUACACAAAAAACAAUGUUUAAAUUUUGAAGAUAUUCUUGUUUUGUUUGCAAAAAGAGGAAUAAUUUCUACAACAUGAAAAUAAAGUACUCAUUUGUUGAAAUAAAAGAAAAUAUUUUUUUUGUUGAAUGAAACAAAAUAUCUUUUUCUAAACCAUGUAAAGAAAAUACUUUUUUUGUUGAAACGUAUUAAAAGAAAAUGCUUUUUGCUACAUUAUUUUGAUGAAAUGAAAGAAAAUAUCUUUUUACUAUACCAUUUUUCUUUGAAACAAGAUAAUAUUUUUUUUACAUCAUGAAAGAAAGUGUUAUUUUUCUUUCAGGAAAAAUGUCACAUUUGUUCCUCUACUAUUAAAUAUUAAUUAUAUAUAUAUCGUAUGUUAUACUAUUCGAAGAUAUUAGCCAUUGCCGUUAUCUUUUUUAAUAUUUUGCCCCUCCUUUUAACGGACAAUCAGACUCAAUUCCAAACUGAAACGUGGCAAAAAUCUGUAGAUACACAACUGAAAUAGCUAACCCAUAUCCAAAAUUUGGAUCUUUCCUCCCAAAACAAAUCAAACUAUGUACCAUCUUUUCCGAUAUCAGGAAAAAAAAAGAUAAUUUUAUGAUAUAAUCAUCUUUAACAUCUCCUUCUUCCUCAUCCCUACCCAAAAACGGAUAAACUCUUAUCAAGAAACUUGUUGAAUCUCGGCUCUUAGCAUCUCCUUAAAACAAAUAUAUGGAACUAGCUGUAGGCACCAGGAUGAAAUGUUCAUCAUUUCCCACAAAAAAAAAAUACAAAUUCAAACAUAAAGUCUGUAAUAUUCAUUGAAAACAAAAAGACUCCAAAACCCAAAAUGGAAAGAUCCAAUUGAAUUCACUAGAAGUUAUUAAUAAAAGUUAAAAUUAUGCUAAAUCAGAUUCUUCCAUGAAUCUUGGGUAAUUGAAGGCAAAAAAUAUCGAAUUCUCUAGAAGUUAUUAAUAAAAGUUAAAAUUAUGCUAAAUCAAAUUCUUCCAUGAAUGUUGGGUAAUUGAAGGCAAAAAAUAUUAAUUUAGAUUCAUAAGCCAUUUGGGUAAUUGAAAAUCAAUCAGCAUUUGGUAGCUCUUGAAAUGAGAAGAAAGAGAGAGAACAUGAGUGAUAGGAGAGGAGAAGUCGAGGUAUUUGGCGGAAGGAUUGGGUCAGGGUGGGUUUAAUUAAAAGAAUGGGAGAAUGGGACGGGUUGUCUUGUCCAAUCAUAAGAUGAUACGAGCUACUAAAAAAUAUAGCGGAAAAAUAUGAACGCACAUGCCAGGCAGAAGAAGAUAAAACCUAGAAAUGCUGAAUCAUCAGUGAAGCAUGAAAAAGUGGAGGCUUCACCUAAAAGGUUGUAUAAUCUCCUUAACCGUGUGAUGUGUUAGCAUGUUGUUGGGAAGCCUAAUGGUUUCAGUGGUGGGUCUCUUUCUGCAGCAACUCAAAAGACACGACAACAAAAUCUGGACAGAAAUCCAAGGAUGAUGGUAAGCUUAAACACAACUUAAAAGAAGGCACCUCAAAAUCUGGCGGGAGAACUGACGAUACAACCAGCAGUAAAUCUAGGGCCAAUCUGAAAAGAGCAGUGGCAAAUCUGUUGAUGAUACUGAAAAGCCAUCUGCUCGGUCUAGAGAUGUUAGCAGUACUCCCAAAUCCAAGUCCAAGCAAGAUACCCUGUCAGCGACUGCCAACAAGUCCAAGCAAGAAACAGUUACAGCUGCCGUCAAGUCCAAAAAUAAAACCCCUCAAAGUGGCGGCAAGCCCAGUGCCAAUGGCAUGGAGAAGCUAAAAUCUAGCUCGUCGAAGGUUAAAGGAUUUGGGAACGAAAAGGAAAAAGCAACUAAUUUGGCGAAAGACCCUGAUAGCAGCUCUAAGGGAUAACUCUAGCGCAUCGAAGGAUGG